Non-coding RNA from Triticum urartu, 2599 nucleotides. Lineage: Eukaryota; Viridiplantae; Streptophyta; Magnoliopsida; Poales; Poaceae. The record is from RefSeq and is a predicted model, not a curated record.
ACAAAUAAAAGCGAGGCCCACGGGUCGUCCUAUCUCUCCCCUGUCUCGGGUUCGUGGCUGAGGCAGAUCGCAUCUUGCUUCGCGACGGCGGCGGCGUAGAGCCAUCCUUCGAUUUUGAUGAACUACGUGGACUCAUGACCCUCCGCGUGCUUGCGAAGGUGACAAGCCCCCACAAGCCCAAGCGCUUGAUGCGCCCAAGCGAAACGGCAGGUCUGUACCCGAUGCCUCUCGCGAUCUAGAUUUGGAGGAGGGGUCGCCUCCCGUUCCGUCCCGGGCAGCGGAUGUGGAGGGGAGAGAGAGAGAGAGAGGAGUGAGGGAGAAGCAUAGAGGAUUCUGCCGGCGGUACUGCUUAGAACGGGGACAAAGGAGGAGGCUAUUUUGGUUCUUUGAUUGAUCCAAUCCUUCCUACGCCCGUAAUUUUCUCGGACACAAAUUUCACAUCUAGCUGCGGCCAUGGGAUGUUCGGCAGGGAAUCCGGCAGGGUCUCUUUUGGCCGUUCCACGGGCCGAUGUGCUCAAAAUACACAUCUACUCUAUCGACUGAAGUCCUAGCCCAAUUGUUCCUUUCGUUGCUUAACAUUGCAGUCUUGCCGUUCUGCCAAAGUCGUCAGAAUAUUGCCGUUCUGCCAACCUCGCCGGAAUUUCUCCAUACUGCUGACUUCGCCAAAAUUACGUCCGCCCGUGCUCUAGGUACGUCGUUCAAACUGGUUGAGCAAUACUGAUUCGAAGUUGUUUUGGUCAAACGGCUAAACUGAACCAUGCUACUACAGAGUAGCCAAAAGGAGAUUCAGUUUUUUUCCUGUGAACUGAAGCUGCUAAACCGAACCAUGCUACUACACAAUAGCCAACAAUGUUGAAUACUGAUUUGGAUUUGAAGUUUGGCUGAUAAAUAUGAGUAUCAUCAUAUAAUUUCUGUCUGAUGUUUCUAGAAUAUGUAAUUGGUAAUGUUAUUUUCGGUUUGACAGACGUGGAUGAUAAGUUCCAGUACCACUUUGUGUGAUGCAGUAUUCUUUGCUUUUUGAAUUUAUUAAUAGUCGUUGCCGAACUCGAGCAGUCGAGCUUGCUUCUCAAUGGUGCCCUAUCGAAACCUAAAAAGUUCCUAUUUAUGGUUAAUAUAAAUCGUGUUGUCGCUACUUUGUAAAUAAGUCACAAACUUCUUAAUUCUUUUGUAUGGGUUGCUGUCAAAACACUAAACUUAAUUCAGUCAGGCCAUCAUUAUAGUAGUUUGUCUAAUGUACGAAACUCAUAACUUUGCUUGAUGCAUUCUUCGGGUUGAGGGUCUCAUGAUGGAUGACGUAACAGCUGUUAAAGAGGAGAAUAAAGGAUGGAAGAUGGCAUCAGAGGAGGAUGCUGAAGCUGGUAAAUCAAUUGAGCAAGAGUUCCUCACUCAUGCUACACCUUCAGGAUUUGCGCCGCACCAGUUCGAGGGCUUCAGAACCAUGCUGUUGUUGUUGUUGUCCUAUUUGCCAUUGCGCGCAUAUAUGAUUCUGACUCAGGGAGUAGGACUCUCUGACUCUAGCUCCUCUGUCGAUAUAGGUUGAGGGUCUCAUGAUGGAUGACGUAACAGCUGUUAAAGAGGAGAAUAAAAGAUGGAAGAUGGCAUCAGAGGAGGAUGCUGAAGCUGGCUACACCUUCAGGAUUUGCGUCGCACUAGUUCGAGGGCUUCGGAGCCAUGCUGCUGUUGUUGUCCUCUUUGCCGUUGCGUGCAUAUAUGAUUCUGACUCAGGGAGUAGGACUCUCUGACUCUGGCUCCUUUGUCGAUAUAGGGAGGUCGCACCUAGCCUAUUCUGCAAGGUCAAAAGGAAGAAUAUCUCUGGUUGCACAGCCAUACAGGGGAACAAAUGGAUUUCUGUGCUCCGUCGGGUCAACACCACUGAGUUGGUUCAUGAAUUCACCAAAUUAUGGUUGUUGAUCAGAGAGGUGCAAAUACCAAACAUAGACCAAGAUGUCGUCUCUUCACGUUGGACAGCGGAUGGAAUCUAUAUAGCACGCUCAACCUACAGGGCAAUGUUCUGGGGCUCAUACUUGGGCACUUGCUCUCAAACUUUCUGGAAGGCUGAAAACAAAGUAAAAAAAUUAUGUUGGCCCCUGUCGCUUGGGAGGAUUAUGUCCGCGGACAAGCUGAUCCGGAGAGGAUGGUAAGGAAGCGAGAUUUGUUCGAUGUACGGUUCGCAGAAGGAGUCGGCGGAGCAUCUUCUUCUGAACAGCUGUUUCACUCGCCAAGUUUGGAGGAGGAUCGCGACUUGGUCUGGUUUCAAGACAUUAUCACCUGAAGAUGGCCUCCGGGAGGGCAUGGUUUACUCCUGGUAGCUGGAGCUAAUGGUGUGUAUGCUUCCAAAUGUUGAUAUAAGGAAGAUGUUAUUCUGAUCAAUUCUUUCUGAUGCGAGCUUUAAACAGAUGACAUGCUAAAAACAAUCAAAUUAAUGUGUCUUUAGGAUAGUUGAAUUCAUGAUACUUCUAUAAUAUCUAUGCAAAAAAAUGUGGUCGUGCGGAUGCACUAGAUGUGGGCAGUAGCUCGUGGAGGGUGGCCUUCAAAUCCUAGAACAUUCACUUGUGCUAUUGCGGUUUAACUCAUGAGCUAGCAGAGCUCGUUGCCUUGA